This 4879-nucleotide long non-coding RNA is filed under the name Gallus gallus (chicken). Its description in RNAcentral is "lncRNA (ENSGALG00010001095.1)". The record is from RNAcentral. Lineage: Eukaryota; Metazoa; Chordata; Aves; Galliformes; Phasianidae.
AUCACAGACAAAAUACAGUAGAAUUGAGAAAGAGUUCAAGAAAGGGUGGACAGCAUUUGUAGCAACUCUGUGAGAGAUAUCUGAAUAUUCAAGGACUUCUCAAGCUGGCAAACAAGCUGGAAGUGCUACAGAAGUCUGCAAAACCAGUAUACUUCCAUGCAUGAGCUUUUGUUGGUAACAUAAGCUUGCUGUGCAGAAGUGAUUUGCCAAUAGCAUUUCUGGAAAGGAAAGGAAAUGAAACUGUUGAAGAACGACAAGUUUGACUGUGCCAGGCAGAAGGCCUUACGGUUUCAACUGUCUAUUCCAUAAAGGAUAUAGACAGGCUUGGAUGUUUUUUUUUCACAUUUUAUCUGGAUGAGAGACAUUACAUCCAUCAACUUCACUAAGGUUAAUCUAACUCAGAACAAAGUGUUGAAGUGGAAGAUUUAACUGGGAAUACAAGUUACUGACCAGACACCUAAGGCAACUGGACCCUUAACUCAUACAAGUUAAUUACAUCUCUAAACCUGGGUGAUAUGAACUACAAGGCUAUCUAUGGAGCAAUAGCUUAGGGCCACUGUGAUUGCUCUUGCUUUCUAUGCAUCUGCUUUGGAAGAAUGGAGAUGUGGAACCAGUCUCAAAGGUCUACCUGGAGGACAAAUUUUAUGGUGGAAGUGCAUCUAUAUUUGAAGUCUGAAGCAGUUCCGGAAACUCUGGGAAUAGCAUUCAUUUGUUCUCUGUGGGACUAUUCAAAGCUAUUUCUUUAAGCAUUAAAACUGGAAAGUUUGGAUAAAGUAUAUUAGGUUAAAACAAUCUCAAGAUCCUGGGUGAUAUGUCUAUUACAGAGAAAAUAGCAUGUUCAUAUUAAUUACUGCUCCUAUACAAAUAUUUCUAGUUAGAAAAUACUUUUAUAUAAGCGUUUUUUUUUUCUUUUCUUAGUUAAAAACUUGAAUUUGAAUUUCAAAGUAAUUUCCUGUGCCUAGGAAAAAAUCUUUGCUUUAGGCCUGUUGUGGAAUUAAUGCAAUUUAUCUCUUAUUUCUCCUUUGCAGCCUCUGAAUCUAUAGACAUGAGGCCAACGAUAAAUUAUAUCUCCAGAACUUUAUACUCAAGGAUCACUGAUAAUGAAUUCCUCAAAUUCAUAAAGUAUCAUGAUUAUAGUACCUUCAUAGGCAUUUACGAUUCUUUAUACAGCCUUUAUAUAAAGGAUUUUAAGACAUAUCCUUGUGUUCUUGUUGUUAAGGUUUUUUUGUUUUGUUUUGUUUUGUUUUGUUUCCAAAGAAGUUAGCUACAAUAAGCUAGUGUACACACCAUAUUUUUUUUCAGUCACCAGUAAUGCCUUUGUGCUUUCUUAUUACACUGCAUGGUACUUUAAUGAUUGAAUAAGUGUCGUCCACUAGAUAUAGCUAAAAUGUCAGCAACACUGGUAAAGGUAAGGGAAAAGAAAGAACAUGCCAUACAAAGCCAUAUGCUGCAAUGCUUUGUAAAGACACUGCUGUCAGUCAGUACCCAUCAAUGUUGCUAGUGUAAAGCAUAACGUUCAUUAUGUAUUUAAUUAAUGUGAACUGAGAUAAAGUUCAGUUAUAUAGUGCAUUAAUCCACAUGAAAUACACAGAAAUUCAUGGAAUUUGUUGUGAGAAAGGGGAGAUCAUCUUGGUUGAGAUUACACGGCAUGGCGUGGUGUCCAGGGGAUCAGAUCCAGUUAGCAUGGGUUUAUGAAAGGCAGGUCGUGCUUGACAAACCUCAUCUCCUCCUACGGCUGGGUGACCAGACUGAUAGAUACGACCAGGCUGUCGAUGUAGUCUACCUAGACUUCAGCAAAUCCUUUGACAUGGUCUCUCACAGUAUUCUCCUGGGAAAACUGCCUGCCCAUGGCCUGGACAGAUGUACCCUUAUUUGGGUAACGAACUGACUAGAGGGCUGUGCCCAACAGGUAGUAGUUAAUGAAGUUAAGUCCAGUUGCUGACCAGUCACAAGUGCUGUCCUCCAGGGGUCGGUACUGGGGCCCAUCUUGUUUAAUAUCGUUAUCGAUGAUCUAGAUGAGGGGAUUGAGUGUACCCUCAGUAAGUUUGCAGAUGACACCAAGUUGGGAGGCAGCGUCAAUCUGCCUGGAGGUAGUGAGGCCCUUCAGAGGGAUGUGGAUAGGAUGAAUUACUGGGCUGAAGUGAAUAGGAUGAGGCUCAACAUGGCCAAGUGCCAAGUCCUGUACUUUGACCACAAUAACUCCAUGCAGUGCCAUAGGCUUGCGGCUUAGUGGCUGGAUGACUGUGAAGAGGAAAGGGACCUGGAGGUGUUGGUUGAUGCUUGACUGAACAUGAGCCGACAGCGAGCCCAGGUGACCAGGAGGGCCAAUGCCAUCCUGGCCUGCAUUAGAAAUAGUGUGGCCAGCAGGAGCAGGGAAGUAAUCAUCCCCCUGUACUCAGCACUGGUGAGGCCACACCUUGAGUACUGUGUUCAGUUUUGGGCCCCUAACUACAGGAAAGACAUGGAGGCCCUGGAACAUGUCCAGAGAAGGGCAAUGAAACUGGUGAAGGGUCUGGAGCAUAGGUCUUAUGAGGAGCAGCUGAGGGAGCUGGGAUUGUUUAGGCUGGAGGAGGCUCAGAGGAGACCUCAUUGCACUCUACAACUUCCUGAAGGGAGGUUGUGAUGAGGAAGGGUUUGGCCUCUUCUCCCAGGCAACAAACAGGACCCAAGGAAAUGGCCAGAAGUUGUACCAGAGGAAGCUUAGGUUAGACAUAAGGAAAACUUUUUCUCUCAGAGAGUAGUCAGGCACUGGAAUGGCCUGCCCAAGGAGGUAGUGGAGUCGCCAUCCCUGGUAGUUUUCAAGAGGUGUCUGGAUGAGGAGCUAUGAGAUAUGGUUUAGUGGCUUGUGGUAGCAAGAGUAAUGGAAGGACGGUUGGACUAGAUGAUCUUAUAGGUCCUUUCCAAACUUGUGAUUCUAUGAUUCUAAGAUGGAGAAAUGAAUGAAUGGGAAACAGUCCUUGUGCCUAGUAACUGACAGACUAACAGAUCAAAUCACAUAUGUGUUAAGCAUCCGAGCAAAAUAUUGUGAUGUCUAAGAAAAAAUAAUUGUAAAAUAUCUACAAAUGACUCAGUUGCAAUUUUUCUUCCUGUUAUAUGGUGAUUGGAAUAUGACUGGAGACAGGGACAACAAACAUCAAGGAAUAAAUCAGAUCAGCAUUUGCUGUUGUGCAGUUUUUAGAGAAACAAGACUUAAUGUAAUUGCUUUCAAAUGCAUAUGAUGUUUAAUUAAAAAGAUCACAAUAAGUGGUACAAAAGUGCAUUUAUUAGCCUAUUUAGGUAACUUGCUUAGAAUCAUAAUAUCAUGGAAUGGCUUAGUUUGGAAGGCAUUGUAAACAUAAUCUAGUUCAAACUCUCCUACUAUGGGCAGGGUUCUGAUCCACUAGAUCAUACUGCCCACGGCCCCUUCCAACCUGGUCUUGAACACCUCUAGGGAUAGAGCAUUCUUAACUUCUCUCAGGGUAGCCUACUGCAAUGCCUCAAAACCCUCUGGAUAAAAAAAUUUCUUCCCAACAUUUAAAUCUCCCCUCUUUUAUCUUCAAACCGUUUCCCCUUGGCCCAUCACUAGAUAUCUGUGUAAGAGACGGAAUUCCCUCCUCUUUAUAAGCUCCCUUCAAGUACUAGAAGGCUGCAGUUAGGUGUCCACUGAGUCUACUCUUCCCCAAGCUAAACAAGCCCAAUUCCAUCAACCUUUCUUCCUAGGAGAGGCUCUUCAGCCCUCUGAUCAUCUUUGUGGGCCUCCUAUGAACCCUCUCCAACAGCGCUGCAUCUUUCUUGUGCUGGAGGCUCCAGAUCUGGACACAGUAUUCCAGAUGGGGCCUCACAAGGGCUGAGUAGAGGGGGACCAUCAUCCCCUCUCCCUGCUGACCACACCUCUUUUGAUGCAGCCAAGAAUAGAGUUGGCCUUUUGGAUUGCAAGAGAACACUGUCGGCUCAUGUCAAUAUUUUUGUACACCAGAACCCUCAAGUCCUUCUCCACAGGACUGUUCUCAAUCAAUUAUUUCUUCUCCCAGUUGGUACUCAUUUCUAGGUUACUCCAACAAAAUUAUGAAUCUGAUUUUAUCUUCUGUUCCUUUGUAUGCCUUUAUUAUACUUGACUGACUCUUUGAAAAUGAAUGCAUAUGAAAAGAAUAUCUAAAAGUUCAUUUUUAACUACAAGAAAUUAACAAAUUCUUUUUCCUGCCUUCAGCAUAUGCCUGUGUUUUAAUUUUUACGUAUGUAUGAAUAUAUGUGUCUAUAUUGUAUACCCAUUAAUAAAAUAGUAUCAGCAUUGCACCAAAUCCACUUUUUUUUAACAAAGAUUAUCUCAAAAAUCACCUUUUGGAUUGAAGCUUUCUGAAAAUAAUUGGCUCUUAAAUUUUGAAAUAUGAAGCAUAUUUAGACAAAUACAAUGUUUAUCAGAAAUAUUUAUGUAGGCCUAUUUCCCUCAUUUUGUAGCAGCACUGCUUUAAAAUUAUUGAUGAACUAGUCAUAGGAAUCACUCUUUUAAGUUCUCUACCUCUUACAUGGGAAAAUGUUGCUAACCUUUUUGCUAGGAGGCUGCUUGUGGAUCUUAUUUCAAAACUUUUUACCCACCUUGUUGGCAGCAGCUCAGGUCCGCUGUUUGACAGUAAUGCCAACCUCUACAUCUCCAUGUUUGAUGCAACUAUUUCCACAUUCAGUGAUGGAAGUUAGACAGUCCUACUGUAGCUUAUACAGUUGCAGAGUGCUCCAUGGAUCAUAUGAAGGUCAAGAAGAAGUUUUAUAUACACAAAUGAAUACAUAUAUAUAAGUAUAUUGAUACAGUUAUAUGUAUGUACAUGUAUUUAUAUGCAAAUAUGUGUUUAUAUGUGUAUUUGUAUAUAUAAACCUAAAAUGAAAUCUUGUUCUAUUGAAUUAAAAC